This 1071-nucleotide ribosomal RNA is filed under the name Triticum aestivum (bread wheat). Its description in RNAcentral is "partial small subunit ribosomal RNA". The record is from RNAcentral. Lineage: Eukaryota; Viridiplantae; Streptophyta; Magnoliopsida; Poales; Poaceae.
AUGCCGUACGUGCUGGACGCCUGCCUGGCCCAGGACCCCGACAGCAAGGUGGCCUGCGAGACCUGCACGAAGACCAACAUGGUCAUGGUGCUGGGCAAGAUCACCACCAAGGCCACCGUCCACUAUGAGAAGAUCGUGCGCGACACCUGCCGCAGCAUCGGCUUCGUCUCCGACGACGUCGGCCUCGACGCCGACCGCUGCAGGGUGCUCGUCAACAUCGAGCAGCAGUCCCCCGACAUCGCCCAGGGCGUCCACGGGCACUUCACCAAGCGCCCCGAGGAGGUGGGCGCCGGCGACCAGGGCAUCAUGUUCGGCUACGCCACCCACGAGACCCCCGAGCUGAUGCCCCUCAGCCACGUGCUCGCCACCAAGCUCGGGGCCCGCCUCACCGAGGUCCGCAAGAACGGCACCUGCGCCUGGCUCAGGCCGGACGGCAAGACCCAGGUCACGGUCGAGUACCUGAACGAGGGUGGCGCCAUGGUCCCUGUCCGCGUGCACACCGUGCUCAUCUCCACCCAGCACGACGAGACCGUCAGCAACGACGAAAUCGCUGCGGACCUCAAGGAGCACGUCAUCAAGCCGGUGAUCCCGGGCAAGUACCUCGACGAGCGCACCAUCUUCCACCUCAACCCGUCGGGCCGCUUCGUCAUCGGCGGCCCCCACGGCGACGCCGGCCUCACCGGCCGCAAGAUCAUCAUCGACACCUACGGUGGGUGGGGAGCCCACGGCGGCGGCGCCUUCUCCGGCAAGGACCCCACCAAGGUCGACCGAAGCGGUGCCUACAUCGCCAGGCAGGCCGCCAAGAGCAUCAUUGCCAGUGGGCUCGCGCGCCGUUGCAUCGUGCAGAUCUCGUACGCCAUCGGCGUGCCUGAGCCUUUGUCUGUCUUCGUAGACUCGUACGGCACCGGGAAGGUCCCCGACGGGGAGAUCCUCGUCAAGGAGAACUUCGACUUCAGGCCCGGGAUGAUCAGCAUCAACCUCGACUUGAAGAAGGGCGGGAACAGGUUCAUCAAGACAGCCGCUUACGGUCACUUUGGGCGCGAUGACGCGACUUCACCUGGGAGGUGGUGA